RNAcentral lists this ribosomal RNA (492 nucleotides) under uncultured bacterium. RNAcentral describes it as "partial 16S ribosomal RNA". It matches the Rfam family "Bacterial small subunit ribosomal RNA", at positions 29 to 507 of the family's 1533-position model. The record is from RNAcentral.
AGUGAACGCUGGCGGUAGGCCUAACACAUGCAAGUCGAACGGCAGCACAGUAAGAGCUUGCUCUUACGGGUGGCGAGUGGCGGACGGGUGCGGAAUACAUCGGAAUCUACUUUUUCGUGGGGGAUAACGUAGGGAAACUUACGCUAAUACCGCAUACGACCUACGGGUGAAAGAAGGGGAUCUUCGGACCUUGCGCGAUUGAAUGAGCCGAUGUCGGAUUAGCUAGUUGGCGGGGUAAAGGCCCACCAAGGCGACGAUCCGUAGCUGGUCUGAGAGGAUGAUCAGCCACACUGGAACUGAGACACGGUCCAGACUCCUACGGGAGGCAGCAGUGGGGAAUAUUGGACAAUGGGCGCAAGCCUGAUCCAGCCAUACCGCGUGGGUGAAGAAGGCCUUCGGGUUGUAAAGCCCUUUUGUUGGGAAAGAAAAGCAGCAGGUUAAUACCCCGCUGUUCUGACGGUACCCAAAGAAUAAGCACCGGCUAACUUCGUG